GACGUAGGGGGCCAGCGUUGUUCGGAAUUACUGGGUGUAAAGGGUUCGUAGGCGGUGUGGCAAGUCGGGAGUGAAAUCUCUGGGCUCAACUCAGAGACUGCUUCCGAAACUGCUGUGCUGGAGUGUGGGAGAGGCGCGUGGAAUUGCAGGUGUAGCGGUGAAAUGCGUAGAUAUCUGCAGGAACACCCGUGGCGAAAGCGGCGCACUGGACCACCACUGACGCUGAGGCGCGAAAGCUAGGGGAG
This 245-nucleotide ribosomal RNA is filed under the name uncultured bacterium. RNAcentral's name for it is "partial 16S ribosomal RNA". It matches the Rfam family "Bacterial small subunit ribosomal RNA", at positions 524 to 768 of the family's 1533-position model. The record is from RNAcentral.